RNAcentral lists this ribosomal RNA (253 nucleotides) under uncultured bacterium. RNAcentral's name for it is "partial 16S ribosomal RNA". It matches the Rfam family "Bacterial small subunit ribosomal RNA", at positions 524 to 776 of the family's 1533-position model. The record is from RNAcentral.
UACGAAGGGGGCUAGCGUUGCUCGGAAUCACUGGGCGUAAAGGGUGCGUAGGCGGGUCUUUAAGUCAGGGGUGAAAUCCUGGAGCUCAACUCCAGAACUGCCUUUGAUACUGAAGAUCUUGAGUUCGCGAGAGGUGAGUGGAACUGCGAGUGUAGAGGUGAAAUUCGUAGAUAUUCGCAAGAACACCAGUGGCGAAGGCGGCUCACUGGCCCGAUACUGACGCUGAGGCACGAAAGCGUGGGGAGCAAACAGG